UCCUAGUUUCCUAGGCAGUCCCAUUAGAGUGCUUUCAAAGAAUAGCAACUAAUGGCAAGAGUUGCGCUCGUUAAAGGACUUAACCCAACAUCUCACGACACGAGCUGACGACAGCCAUGCAGCACCUGUGUAUUUGUCUAGAGUUACCCCUAGAAAUUCUUAUUUCUAAGAAGGUCAAAUACAUGUCAAACCUAGGUAAGGUUCCUCGCGUAGUGUCGAAUUAAACCACAUGUUCCACCGCUUGUGCGGACCCCCGUCAAUUUCUUUAAGUUUUAAUCUUGCGACCGUACUCCCCAGGCGGAUCACUUAACGCGUUAGCUACGACACUAAAUUCGCAACGCGAAUCUAACGUCUAGUGAUCAUCGUUUACGGCGUGGACUAC
This 382-nucleotide unclassified non-coding RNA is filed under the name uncultured bacterium. Its description in RNAcentral is "contains 16S-23S intergenic spacer region". The record is from RNAcentral.